UUGAUUUAUAUAUAAAGUCUGACCUGCCCACUGAAAAUUUUAAAUGGCUGCAGUAAUUUGACUGUACAAAGGUAGCAUAAUCAUUAGUUUUUUAAUUAAAAGCUUGUAUGAAAGGUUGGACGAAGUAAAAUCUGUCUCUUUUUAAUAUAAUUAGAAUUUAAUUUUUAAGUAAAAAAGCUUAAAUUUUUAUAAAAGACGAGAAGACCCUAUAGAGUUUAAUAAUUUUAAUAAAAUAUUUAAUUAAGAUUUAUUAAUUUUAUUUAAUUAAAAUUAUUUUAUUGGGGUAAUAAAAAGAUUAAAAAAAUUCUUUUUUUUUAAUACAUUAAUUUAUGAAUAUAUGAUCCAUUUGUAAUGAUUAAAAGAUUAAAUUACCUUAGGGAUAACAGCGUAAUUUUUUUAAAGAGUUCUUAUCGAUAAAAAAGUUUGCGACCUCGAUGUUGGAUUAAAGAUUAAUUUAGGUGUAGAAGUUUAAAUUUUUGGUCUGUUCGACCAUUAAAUCUUUACAUGAUCUGAGUUCAAACCGGUGUAAGCCAGGUUGGUUUCUAUCUUUAUUAAUUUUUUAUAUUUUAGUACGAAAGGACCAAAUAUAAAAUAUAUAAAUAUUUUUAUUUUGAAUAUUAUU
RNAcentral lists this ribosomal RNA (622 nucleotides) under Trechisibus antarcticus. RNAcentral describes it as "partial 16S ribosomal RNA". The stretch from base 379 to 537 matches the Rfam family "Bacterial large subunit ribosomal RNA", at positions 2473 to 2632 of the family's 2925-position model. The record is from RNAcentral. Lineage: Eukaryota; Metazoa; Arthropoda; Insecta; Coleoptera; Carabidae.